This 465-nucleotide ribosomal RNA is filed under the name Vreelandella stevensii. RNAcentral describes it as "partial 16S ribosomal RNA". It matches the Rfam family "Bacterial small subunit ribosomal RNA", at positions 338 to 795 of the family's 1533-position model. The record is from RNAcentral. Lineage: Bacteria; Pseudomonadati; Pseudomonadota; Gammaproteobacteria; Oceanospirillales; Halomonadaceae.
CCUACGGGUGGCUGCAGUGGGGAAUAUUGGACAAUGGGGGCAACCCUGAUCCAGCCAUGCCGCGUGUGUGAAGAAGGCCCUCGGGUUGUAAAGCACUUUCAGUGAGGAAGAACGCCUGGUGGUUAAUACCCAUCAGGAAAGACAUCACUCACAGAAGAAGCACCGGCUAACUCCGUGCCAGCAGCCGCGGUAAUACGGAGGGUGCGAGCGUUAAUCGGAAUUACUGGGCGUAAAGCGCGCGUAGGUGGCUUGAUAAGUCGGUUGUGAAAGCCCCGGGCUCAACCUGGGAACGGCAUCCGGAACUGUCAAGCUAGAGUGCAGGAGAGGAAGGUAGAAUUCCCGGUGUAGCGGUGAAAUGCGUAGAGAUCGGGAGGAAUACCAGUGGCGAAGGCGGCCUUCUGGACUGACACUGACACUGAGGUGCGAAAGCGUGGGUAGCAAACAGGAUUAGAUACCCGAGUAGUC